CCUACGGGUGGCAGCAGUGGGGAAUAUUGGGCAAUGGGCGCAAGCCUGACCCAGCAACGCCGCGUGAAGGAAGAAGGCUUUCGGGUUGUAAACUUCCUUUCUCAGGGACGAAGCAAGUGACGGUACCUGAGGAAUAAGCCACGGCUAACUACGUGCCAGCAGCCGCGGUAAUACGUAGGUGGCAAGCGUUAUCCGGAUUUACUGGGUGUAAAGGGCGUGUAGGCGGGACUGCAAGUCAGAUGUGAAAACCACGGGCUCAACCUGUGGCCUGCAUUUGAAACUGUAGUUCUUGAGUACUGGAGAGGCAGACGGAAUUCCUGGUGUAGCGGUGAAAUGCGUAGAUAUUAGGAGGAACACCAGUGGCGAAGGCGGUCUGCUGGACAGCAACUGACGCUGAGGCGCGAAAGCGUGGGGAGCAAACAGGAUUAGAUACCCUGGUGUC
This 442-nucleotide ribosomal RNA is filed under the name uncultured bacterium. RNAcentral describes it as "partial 16S ribosomal RNA". It matches the Rfam family "Bacterial small subunit ribosomal RNA", at positions 338 to 795 of the family's 1533-position model. The record is from RNAcentral.